Molecule: ribosomal RNA, 566 nt
Filed under: uncultured archaeon
Lineage: Archaea
Description: bacterial SSU rRNA
Rfam family: Archaeal small subunit ribosomal RNA
Source: RNAcentral
UGUUAGGUUGAUCCUGCCGGACUGACUGCUUUCUUAUUGGUACUAAGCCAUGCGAGUCGUUGUACAUACAAGGCGGACUGCUCAGUAACACGUAGUUAACUUAACCUAUGGAUGGGCAUAACCUCGGGAAACUGAGAAUAAUACCCAAUGGACCACAGUGCCUGGAAUGGCCUGUGGUUGAAAUGAUUUAUCGCCGUAGGAUAGGACUGCGGCCUAUCAGCUUGUUGGUGAGGUAAUGGCCCACCAAGGCUAUAACAGGUACGGGCUCUGAGAGGAGGGGCCCGGAGAUGGGUACUGAGACACGGACCCAGGCCCUAUGGGGCGCAGCAGGCGAGAAACCUUUGCAAUGUGCGAAAGCACGACAAGGUUAAUCCGAGUGUCUCCUGCUAAAGGAGUCUUUUGUCAGUUGUAGAAUCACUGGUGAAUAAGGGGUGGGCAAGUUCUGGUGUCAGCCGCCGCGGUAAAACCAGCACCUCGAGUGGUCAGGAGGUUUAUUGGGCCUAAAGCAUCCGUAGCCGGUUGCAUAAGUUAUCGGUUCAAUCUAUGCGCUUAACGUAUAGGCCGCC